AAGCCUGCUUGGGUUGCAUGGAAUACAAUGACUCAACCAAAAUUCGUGGGAGGACUUGGCUUUCGAGAUUUUGAGCUUUUUAAUUUGUCUCUUCUGGCAAGAAAGUCAUGGAGGAUACUACAACAUCCAGAGUCACUUUGUGCGCGUAAUUUGAAGGCAAUUUAUUUUCCUAAUGAAACUAUCCUCUCCGCAGAGUUAGGCAGCCGACCAUCACAAGUGCGGCGCGCCAUAUUGGAAGGGCGCGGCAUUCUUUCUCAAGGAUUGAUACGACGAAUGGAAGAUGGCUCCACAACAAGGAUCUGGAGAUAA
RNAcentral lists this ribosomal RNA (309 nucleotides) under Triticum aestivum (bread wheat). Its description in RNAcentral is "partial small subunit ribosomal RNA". The record is from RNAcentral. Lineage: Eukaryota; Viridiplantae; Streptophyta; Magnoliopsida; Poales; Poaceae.